This 414-nucleotide ribosomal RNA is filed under the name uncultured microorganism. RNAcentral's name for it is "bacterial SSU rRNA". It matches the Rfam family "Archaeal small subunit ribosomal RNA", at positions 459 to 872 of the family's 1478-position model. The record is from RNAcentral.
CAGCCGCCGCGGUAAUACCGGCGGCCCGAGUGGCGGUCACUAUUAUUGGGCUUAAAGCGUCCGUAGCCGGGUUGGGAAGUCCUCCGGGAAAUCUGGCCGCUUAACGGUCAGAAUGCCGGAGGAUACUCCCAGCCUAGGGAGCGGGAGAGGCCGAGGGGAUUCCCGGAGGAGGGGGGAAAUCCUAUAAUCCCGGGAGGACCACCUGUGGCGAAGGCGCUCGGCUGGAACGCGGCCGACGGUGAGGGACGAAGGCCAGGGGAGCAAACCGGAUUAGAUACCCGGGUAGUCCUGGCUGUAAACGAUGCGGACUUUGUGUCGGACAAGCUAUGAGCUUGUCCGGUGCCGGAGGGAAACCGUUAAGUCCGCCGCCUGGGGAGUACGGCCGCAAGGCUGAAACUUAAAGGAAUUGGCGGG